CCUACGGGAUGCAGCAGUGGGGAAUAUUGGGCAAUGGGCGCAAGCCUGACCCAGCAACGCCGCGUGAAGGAAGAAGGCUUUCGGGUUGUAAACUUCUUUUGUCAGGGAAGAGUAGAAGACGGUACCUGACGAAUAAGCCACGACUAACUACGUGCCAGCAGCAGCGGUAAUACGUAGGUGGCAAGCGUUGUCCGGAUUUACUGGGUGUAAAGGGCGUGUAGCCGGGUUGACAAGUCAGAUGUGAAAUCCUGCGGCUUAACCGCAGAACUGCAUUUGAAACUGUUGAUCUUGAGUACUGGAGAGGCAGACGGAAUUCCGAGUGUAGCGGUGAAAUGCGUAGAUAUUAGGAGGAACACCAGUGGCGAAGGCGGUCUGCUGGACAGCAACUGACGGUGAGGCGCGAAAGCGUGGGGAGCAAACAGGAUUAGAUACCCUUGUAGUC
This 442-nucleotide ribosomal RNA is filed under the name uncultured bacterium. RNAcentral's name for it is "partial 16S ribosomal RNA". It matches the Rfam family "Bacterial small subunit ribosomal RNA", at positions 338 to 795 of the family's 1533-position model. The record is from RNAcentral.